GGGCCACAGGGCCCCAUUUCUGCAAUUUAGCUACAGAUGUUCUUUGUUUGUACCAACCAAGACAAAGGGACAACUCUUCUCUUAUGAAAGCUUCACAGGGAGACAGCCUCCAUAACCCCCCAGAGGAGAUCCUUUCAAUGCUUUAUCACUCAAAUCUUGCAAAGACCUUCUUUUGUCCAAUGGCAAGCGCUCUGGAUAUGACUUAAACAUGCUUCCUUUUGUUUCUCUAUAGACAUGGAGUAUAAUCAUUUAUUUAUUUGAUUAUUUAUAGUGUUUACAGAAGAAAUCUCAGUGGACUAAAGAGCUAUGCUCAAGUCACUCUCUUCUGUAGGUAAACACCUCCAGUUCCUUUAACCUUUUCUUGCAGUAACUUUCUCAUCCCUUUAAUCACGUUGGCUGUUCGUCUCUUGCCAAAAGAAGAGAGAGCAGAUUAAUUCAUGCUGGGGCAUGAGGAAUCUCUGUUGAUAUGUGCGCUGUGCAUGUGACACCCAGCAGUCUGACUUCACGGACAGCGUAUAUUCCUGGAACAUGCAAAGUAUGGCAGGAGAGAAUGUCAAAGCAUCCGACAGCCAAAAGGUGGCGCUCCUCACCCACCAUUCAUUUCCUUCCAAGCUUUGCCUGGCCCCUCAACACUAUUGCGGGCACCUCCUGUCGGGGCAUGGCAUGAAUCGGGUGCAGCAUGACGGCAAAAUGGCAUUGGAUUCGAGAAGGAAUUCAAGGACACGUCGCUGAGAACGAAAUCAGAGCAGCACUUUGGAAAGAAGGUUGGUUGAGAAAGCAGUUUGUCAAGCUGCCCCAUUGGAGCUUAAAUGGACUUAUCUAUUGAAAAAUACUCAGUAAAAAUUGAAAAGUGCUUCUCAUUACAUUCAUCUGAGCCCCCCAAGAUCACUGCAUGUAACUGUCUAGUGUAAAAUUAUGGGCACGGUCACGUAACCACCUCUGGCCGCAGACUCAACUUUC
Long non-coding RNA from Leopardus geoffroyi (Geoffroy's cat), 960 nucleotides. RefSeq lists it as uncharacterized. The record is from RefSeq and is a predicted model, not a curated record. Lineage: Eukaryota; Metazoa; Chordata; Mammalia; Carnivora; Felidae. The transcript has 4 exons.